GAAACGGUAGCUCAACGGAGGAGUGUUGGCCGUCCACGUAAGAGGUUGCGGGUUCAAUUCCCGUCCGUUUCA
Molecule: transfer RNA, 72 nt
Filed under: Chryseobacterium sp. D764
Lineage: Bacteria; Pseudomonadati; Bacteroidota; Flavobacteriia; Flavobacteriales; Weeksellaceae
Also listed under: 1 other name
Description: tRNA-Gly
Rfam family: tRNA
About the family: Transfer RNA (tRNA) molecules are approximately 80 nucleotides in length.
Source: RNAcentral